RNAcentral lists this ribosomal RNA (155 nucleotides) under Escherichia coli. RNAcentral describes it as "partial 23S ribosomal RNA". The stretch from base 1 to 137 matches the Rfam family "Bacterial large subunit ribosomal RNA", at positions 2794 to 2925 of the family's 2925-position model. RNAcentral also lists the same sequence under 1 other name. Lineage: Bacteria; Pseudomonadati; Pseudomonadota; Gammaproteobacteria; Enterobacterales; Enterobacteriaceae. The record is from RNAcentral.
UUGCCCCGAGAUGAGUUCUCCCUGACUCCUUGAGAGUCCUGAAGGAACGUUGAAGACGACGACGUUGAUAGGCCGGGUGUGUAAGCGCAGCGAUGCGUUGAGCUAACCGGUACUAAUGAACCGUGAGGCUUAACCUUACAACGCCGAAGGUGUUU